GUGCUCGCUUCAGCAGCACAUAUACUAAAAUUGGAAUGAUACAGAGAUUAGCAUGGCCCCUGCGCAAGGAUGACAUGCAAAUUCAUGAAGUGUUCCAUAUUCUU
Ursus americanus (American black bear) is the source of this 104-nucleotide small nuclear RNA. The record is from Ensembl. Lineage: Eukaryota; Metazoa; Chordata; Mammalia; Carnivora; Ursidae.